This 380-nucleotide ribosomal RNA is filed under the name uncultured eukaryote. Its description in RNAcentral is "partial 18S ribosomal RNA". It matches the Rfam family "Eukaryotic small subunit ribosomal RNA", at positions 592 to 976 of the family's 1831-position model. The record is from RNAcentral.
CAAUAGCGUAUAUUAAAGUUGUUGCGGUUAAAAAGCUCGUAGUUGGAUUUCUGUUGGGAACGACCGGUCCGCCCAUUGGGUGUGUAUCUGGCUUGUUCUCGGCAUCUUCUUGGUGAACGUUGCUGCACUUGACUGUGUGGAGCGCUACCCAGGACUUUUACUUUGAGGAAAUUAGAGUGUUUCAAGCAGGCAUAUGCCUUGAAUACAUCAGCAUGGAAUAAUAAGAUAGGACCUCGGUUCUAUUUUGUUGGUUUCUAGAGCUGAGGUAAUGAUUAAUAGGGAUAGUUGGGGGCAUUCGUAUUUAACUGUCAGAGGUGAGAUUCUUGGAUUUGUUAAAGACGGACUACUGCGAAAGCAUUUGCCAAGGAUGUUUUCAUUGA